RNAcentral lists this ribosomal RNA (427 nucleotides) under uncultured bacterium. RNAcentral's name for it is "bacterial SSU rRNA". It matches the Rfam family "Bacterial small subunit ribosomal RNA", at positions 355 to 774 of the family's 1533-position model. The record is from RNAcentral.
UGGGGAAUUUUGGACAAUGGACGCAAGUCUGAUCCAGCCAUGCCGCGUGCGGGAAGAAGGCCUUCGGGUUGUAAACCGCUUUUGUCAGGGAAGAAACGAGUUUCUCUAAUACAGAGACUUAAUGACGGUACCUGAAGAAUAAGCACCGGCUAACUACGUGCCAGCAGCCGCGGUAAUACGUAGGGUGCGAGCGUUAAUCGGAAUUACUGGGCGUAAAGCGUGCGCAGGCGGUCUUGUAAGACAGUUGUGAAAGCCCCGGGCUUAACCUGGGAACUGCAUUUGUGACUGUAUAGCUAGAGUACGGCAGAGGGGGAUGGAAUUCCGCGUGUAGCAGUGAAAUGCGUAGAUAUGCGGAGGAACACCGAUGGCGAAGGCAAUCCCCUGGGCCUGUACUGACGCUCAUGCACGAAAGCGUGGGGAGCGAACA